RNAcentral lists this unclassified non-coding RNA (477 nucleotides) under Hevea brasiliensis (rubber tree). The record is from RNAcentral. Lineage: Eukaryota; Viridiplantae; Streptophyta; Magnoliopsida; Malpighiales; Euphorbiaceae.
GUUCUCCGAAAUCUAAAUUUAACCCAAUUUCCCUCCUUUCCAGGCCGAAAUCAUCCUCCGUCGCCGGUACUUGCUGGGCAAAGCCACCGUUUGGGCGUCUACAGCCACAAUCUUCAAAGCUUCUCUUACAUACAAACAUACAUCCUCAGUCCUUUUCCUGCAGCUCUACGAAAUUACCACCUCCAUUCCUACCUCAAAAUCAACUACCAUUGCAGCCUCAAUUCCAACUGAUUUUGACGAAAACCUCCCGCUACAUCUACGUGCCGCUACGCGCCGCACUGGGUUCGUGCCUCCGCUUGAGAGGGUCCAAGUCAAAACACUUUUCUCACCAAAUCGCUUAAACUCAACGGAUCACGUUUCAUCCAUUCCCAACAGCUGAGUGUAAUAGAAAAUGGCAACAGAGUCAUCGGAGGGAGAAGAAGAAGGGAAGAUUACAGGAUGGAGUCAGCACCUGAUUGUGGACGAUGACCUCAGAGA